Angiostrongylus costaricensis is the source of this 72-nucleotide non-coding RNA. NCBI's taxonomy places the organism in Eukaryota, Metazoa, Nematoda, Chromadorea, Rhabditida, Metastrongylidae. The record is from Rfam.
UCCUCGGUUGUAUAGUUGUUAGUAUCCGCGCCUGUCACAUGCGAGACCCGGGUUCAAUUCCCGGCCGGGGAA